UAGCCGUAAACGAUACUCGCUAGGUGUCGGCCACGGUGCGACCGUUGUCGGUGCCGUAGGGAAGCCGUGAAGCGAGCCACCUGGGAAGUACGGCCGCAAGGCUGAAACUUAAAGGAAUUGGCCGGGGGAGCACCACAACGGGUGGAGCUUGCGGUUUAAUUGGAUUCAACGCCGGAAAUCUUACCGGGACCGACAGCAACAUGAAGGCCAGGCUGAAGACUUUGCCGGAUUAGCUGAGAGGAGGUGCAUGGCGUAGUCGUGU
RNAcentral lists this ribosomal RNA (262 nucleotides) under uncultured archaeon. RNAcentral describes it as "partial 16S ribosomal RNA". It matches the Rfam family "Archaeal small subunit ribosomal RNA", at positions 748 to 1009 of the family's 1478-position model. The record is from RNAcentral.